RNAcentral lists this long non-coding RNA (405 nucleotides) under Androctonus crassicauda. The record is from RNAcentral. Lineage: Eukaryota; Metazoa; Arthropoda; Arachnida; Scorpiones; Buthidae.
UUCCAAAUUAAAUUUUGACUGCUAAUUAACUCUUAUUUUGUGAAGAUUCACAUAUAUCUAAAUUGCUUUAUAUGAAGCAUUACAUUGUUAUAUUUUUUAUUUAUUAAUAUUUCAUAUAUAUUAGAUUCAACACUUCUAAAUGAAUUGCAAAGAAUCCCAAUUUAUAACAAUAUGUACAGUCUAUUGCAAAAAGUUUUGUGCACAGUGGUCAGGGGCAGGAAGCAGAGGAAAUACUUUGAUUAUAAAAUCUGGAAAGUGGCUGUAGAGCUGAAGGGAAGAAAUGGACUAUUCCUGGGUCGAAGGGGGUGGGCAGCUUUGAUAGACGAGAGAAAGACGAUGACGUUUUUGACAAAACAGCUCGCUCAUAAGAGUUUUGCUGUAUUCCUCUAGCAGCUGAAUAAUGUU